AUCGCUCUGUAAUCCCAUGCAUUGAUAUGCAGCGUAGAGGAUCAAUCUUGUAUGCCCAAUCAACAACAGCAUAAAAAUCUUCUUGGAUUCCAUCAAGCAAAUCCUGAAGAGAUUCAUUCAGUGCAGCCAGAUCUGCAGAAUUUUUUCCAGCCUUGCUGUCAUUCUCAUCAAUGUCCAUAAUACCCAAAUCAUCAUCAUCAUCAUCAUUGACCUCGUCAUUGUAAUUUCCACUUCUAUUACCAUUAGCAACACCACCUGGGGGGACAAGUGCAGGAACUUCAAAGCACAUGAAGUGUGCAAAAAAAGAACUCUCAUCCACAAGUAGUGGGAUAAAAAUUGUCAGCAUUUUAGCAUAAGCAUCAGAAACUGAUGAUGUAUCUGCAGUAUGCGCAUUUUGAUUGGAGCCAGUGGAAGCUUCAAGCCAGACAGUUGGAUUUCUUGAUGUUUUUGUACUAGCACGAAGCUCAUUAGCAAACUCACGAGCCUCCCGGCGAAGAAGCAAGUUAAGGGAGCUACAAUAUGCUUUCCUCAAAGGCCCCAAGCAAUUCUUAUCAAGACUCUUUAAAUGUUGCAAUAAGCGAGCAUAUGUUCUGCAUUUGUACCGUA
Molecule: unclassified non-coding RNA, 606 nt
Filed under: Hevea brasiliensis (rubber tree)
Lineage: Eukaryota; Viridiplantae; Streptophyta; Magnoliopsida; Malpighiales; Euphorbiaceae
Source: RNAcentral